UACGUAGGGUGCGAGCGUUGUCCGGAAUUAUUGGGCGUAAAGGGCUCGUAGGCGGUCUGUCACGUCGGGAGUGAAAACCCAGGGCUCAACCCUGGUCCUGCUUCCGAUACGGGCAGACUAGAGGUAUGCAGGGGAGAAUGGAAUUCCUGGUGUAGCGGUGAAAUGCGCAGAUAUCAGGAGGAACACCGGUGGCGAAGGCGGUUCUCUGGGCCUGUACUGACGCUGAGGAGCGAAAGCGUGGGGAGCGAACAGG
RNAcentral lists this ribosomal RNA (253 nucleotides) under uncultured bacterium. Its description in RNAcentral is "partial 16S ribosomal RNA". It matches the Rfam family "Bacterial small subunit ribosomal RNA", at positions 524 to 776 of the family's 1533-position model. The record is from RNAcentral.